This 152-nucleotide small RNA is filed under the name uncultured Catenibacillus sp. RNAcentral describes it as "Clostridiales-1 RNA". It matches the Rfam family "Clostridiales-1 RNA". The record is from RNAcentral. Lineage: Bacteria; Bacillati; Bacillota; Clostridia; Lachnospirales; Lachnospiraceae.
GAUACCAGGGUCAAAAGGUCAUACAAUGCAUGUUUGCAUGCAAUUGUAUGACCUUGGGACCCGCAAAACAUGAGAAAGUAGCCCGAAUAGGGCGGAUUUCGAAUGUUUUUAGGAUUUCGGGAGCACGAAGUGCGGAGAAAUCCGUAGGUAUC